ACUGCUCAGUAACACGUAGCUAACCUACCCUCAGGACGUGGAUAACCCCGGGAAACUGGGGCUAAUCCGCGAUAGGUAUGAAGGCCUGGAAUGGUUUCAUGCCCAAUGGCACAGCAAUCAUGUUUGUUGUGCGCCUGAGGAUGGGGCUGCGGCUGAUCAGGCAGUUGGCGAGGUAACGGCUCACCAAACCUUUGACCAGUACGGGCCAUGAAAGUGGUAGCCCGGAGAUGGGCACUGAGACAGGGGCCCAGGCCCUACGGGGCGCAGCAGGCGCGAAAACUCCACACUGUACGAAAGUACGAUGGGGUUAUCUCGAGUGCAGUCCGAUAAGGGCUGCUUUUCCAUAGAGUAAUAUCCUGUGGGAAUAAGAGGGGGGCAAGACUGGUGUCAGCCGCCGCGGUAACACCAGCCCCUCGAGUGGUGGGGACUUUUAUUUGGCCUAAAGCGUCCGUAGCUGGCUGUAUCCGUCCCCCGUUAAAUCCAGCGUCCUAAACGUUGGACUGCGGGUGAUACCAUACAGCUAGAGGGUGGGAUAGGUGAGCGGUAUUUCUGGGGUAGGGGCGAAAUCCUUUGAUCCCAGGAGGACCACCAGUGGCGAAGGCUGCUUACUAGAACACGCCUGACGGUCAGGGACGAAAGCUGGGGCAGCGAACCGGAUUAGAUACCCGGGUAGUCCCAGCUGUAAACGAUGCUAGCUAGGUGUUGGGUCGGCCACGCGCCGCCCCAGUGCCGCAGGGAAGCCGUUAAGCUAGCCGCCUGGGGAGUACGGCCGCAAGGCUGAAACUUAAAGGAAUUGGCGGGGGAGCAC
RNAcentral lists this ribosomal RNA (808 nucleotides) under uncultured archaeon. RNAcentral's name for it is "bacterial SSU rRNA". It matches the Rfam family "Archaeal small subunit ribosomal RNA", at positions 85 to 879 of the family's 1478-position model. The record is from RNAcentral.